UUCUGUAGUGUUGGGGGCUAGGAAGCUUUGAUUCCAUACACGUGCUCUCUCAACCUGUCAUCAUCACCAGGAGCAAUUACCAAUCGCUGCUUCUGACUCCCUGUAACCACUGGAGCAGUUUCCUUCACACACACCACCCUGGGACACAAUUGAAGAGAUCUACCAGAGGGCAGGGAGCACGCUGACUAAGAGGAGAUUCGGAUUUCAGAAGAGGAGAACUGUCCAAAGCAGAUGUGAUAAAGUGAAUCUGGACAGAAGGAGAAGGAUCAUGGGGUGAACAGAGAGGUUCGUGGAGCCACCUUCUCCUUUCCCUCCUACUUCCGGGAGUGAUGCUGGGAACUUCACAAGAAUCAAGAACACAUCCUCACGUGAUGCAAUAUAAUGGGUUCCCUCAGGUGUCUGCUGCUGUAACAUCGUCUCUGUGAUGUUAUAACAUGGAAGUAUGACAGCCACAGAAGAAGUAAGACAGAUGUUUCCCCUCACAGAAGAAGUAAGACAGGUCUUUCCCUUCCAUCUGAGCAUAAGGAGCUGUCUAUAGGUUGCAUCUGAUACGAGAUCCCCCUAGUCCUAGGCCUAUCUAGUAAAUUCUUUCUGGAAACACAAAAUGAGGCAGAGUCUCCCAGGUCUGUAAACAAACAUUCAGUUGUUCAAAGGAGAAGGGUAAGUGAAGAACAAGACAGACUCUGGGAAAGCAGACAAGAUGGCGCAUCUCUGACAGGAAUGGUCCACUGAUCUCUAGGAAAGGCGCAGUCAGCAACCAGAGGAACCACUGGACAGAGCAGCACCCUUUUGAGUAGCAAAGUGUGGUUAAUGAACAUUGGAAUGUAACAAGGGCCACCAACAGUGGCCCGGGUCCUGGAGAAAUCUGGAGUGCCUCUGAGUACCUGCUUUGGACAUUCUAAGCUUUUAAUUUGGAUUCUUGGUUUCCACACAUAUCUG
Molecule: long non-coding RNA, 939 nt
Organism: Peromyscus maniculatus bairdii (prairie deer mouse)
Lineage: Eukaryota; Metazoa; Chordata; Mammalia; Rodentia; Cricetidae
Source: RefSeq, a predicted model, not a curated record